Molecule: long non-coding RNA, 202 nt
Filed under: Gossypium barbadense (sea-island cotton)
Lineage: Eukaryota; Viridiplantae; Streptophyta; Magnoliopsida; Malvales; Malvaceae
Description: long non-coding RNA (GBAR_LNC007372)
Source: RNAcentral
GUUUGAUAAAAUAGAUAUUAUUAUUCAUCUAUCCAUUACAAAUAAGAGUAUGAUUUCUAAAUAUUACAAAAAUAUUAUUAAAAGUCACGGUCAAAUUGUUUGUAAAUAAACAUGUAAUAGAAGUUAAGUUUCAUUUGAAGCUUGAUACAAAGAAAAUGUCUUGUAAAAUAAUCUUCCAAAAAUUAUCAAAAUAAAUAUGUAC